CGAGCGGAGAAUGCGAGAUGUUUACAUUGAGUAUUCUUAGCGGCGGACGGGUGAGUAACACGUGGGUAACCUGCCUCAGAGUGGGGGAUAGCCUUUCGAAAGGAAGAUUAAUACCGCAUAAGCUUGUAGCAUCGCAUGGUGCAGCAAGAAAAGGAGCAAUCCGCUCUGAGAUGGACCCGCGGCGCAUUAGCUAGUUGGUGAGGUAACGGCUCACCAAGGCCACGAUGCGUAGCCGACCUGAGAGGGUGAUCGGCCACAUUGGAACUGAGACACGGUCCAGACUCCUACGGGAGGCAGCAGUGGGGAAUAUUGCACAAUGGGCGAAAGCCUGAUGCAGCAACGCCGCGUGAGUGAUGAAGGCUUUCGAGUCGUAAAGCUCUUUGAUCAGGGAUGAUAAUGACAGUACCUGAAAAACAAGCCACGGCUAACUACGUGCCAGCAGCCGCGGUAAUACGUAGGUGGCGAGCGUUGUCCGGAAUUACUGGGCGUAAAGGAUGCGUAGGUGGAUAUUUAAGUGGGAUGUGAAAUCCCCGGGCUCAACCCGGGAACUGCAUUCCAAACUGGAUAUCUAGAGUGCAGGAGAGGAAAGCGGAAUUCCUAGUGUAGCGGUGAAAUGCGUAGAUAUUAGGAGGAACACCAGUGGCGAAGGCGGCUUUCUGGACUGUAACUGACACUGAGGCAUGAAAGCGUGGGUAGCAAACAGGAUUAGAUACCCUGGUAGUCCACGCCGUAAACGAUGGGUACUAGGUGUAGGAGGUAUCGACCCCUUCUGUGCCGUCGUUAACACAAUAAGUACCCCGCCUGGGGAGUACGGUCGCAAGACUAAAACUCAAAGGAAUUGACGGGGGCCCGCACAAGCAGCGGAGCAUGUGGUUUA
Molecule: ribosomal RNA, 877 nt
Filed under: Proteiniclasticum sp.
Lineage: Bacteria; Bacillati; Bacillota; Clostridia; Eubacteriales; Clostridiaceae
Description: bacterial SSU rRNA
Rfam family: Bacterial small subunit ribosomal RNA
Source: RNAcentral